AGUGUGUAUUUUUCACGAACAACAGCUCAUUUUGUUCUUGGGGUCGAAAUCCCCAAAGGCCUAGCUCGCAACAACAAAUAAUCGAUAGCUAUCGACCUUCACACCAUGUACCAAUAGUUCCUAACACUAGAAUCGAUAGAAAUCAACGUCUCACAUACUAAUUUUACAUGGACCAUCUCUACAGGCAUCAAAAGGUAAACAAACAACAAACAGGUAAAUAUUGGACGAGAUUAACGAAAAGUUACGUAUGGACUAGCCACCGCGCACUCAAACAUCCUAUGGCACCCACCACAAAAACCUAGGCCACUGCAAGGCCGGAUAACGACCGGUUUAUCUCCCCUAGGGCAAAACUGCUACCCGGGCUUGGACCUCGGCCCCUUCAAGCCCGAUUUAAAAUCAGGAAAUAUGGCCUUAGAGAAGUGUAAACUUUGCGCUUGAAGCGGCUUAAUGGACACAUAAUAUUUCUCCUAAAUACCCUGCUGGAGCUCUAAGAGGACAAUAAGGGACGAGGAUUUUAACAAGAUAUCCCCUUGGCUGCUGGUCGAAAAAUUCAACAGAAAUUUGGGCCGAAAAUAACUUGGUCCCGUUUCUAAGUCGAUGUGAAAAUGGCGAAAGGUGGACCGGAGGACCAAGCCUUGCCUGAGCAACUGCGGACCGCGAAAAUAGGGAUGCCGCGUGUUGAAGAGCCCUGUGGUGAUUAGGACAAACAUAGGGAAGUUUAAUGGUCUUGGUAGCAGCUAGUAGAUGCUACGGCUCGUGGCAGGAAUCACAAAAGAAUUAAUAAGAAACUGUUAAGUGGUAUUGAUUUGUUAAAGAAUUUCCGUACACGACACUCGUAGAGUAAAGGGUACAUAGUAUUAGCUGAAAAGUAUAAGAACUGGUAGAAAAAACAUUUCUGACCCGUUGGUAAACAUAUAUAUUCUUUAUCAGGAUCAGAAGCCGAGUUGAUCUAGCCAUGCCCGCCUAUCUCUAUCAACGUAUAAACGACGAGACCUUUAACGCAAUUCGUGAAAUUUUGUAUAGAAAUGGUAAAGAAAUGUUUUUGCGCGGUAUAUAUUUAUUGAAUAUCGGACACCCACAUUUUUUAAAUAAGGAAUUAUUUCUGAAGUUAUUUAGCAACAAAGUUUCCAAAACCGAAUCUUUAUUGAUUGCUGCUCGAAUAGAAAAGUAAGUUGAGCUAUAUGUUACAUGCAUAUUUAAUUUUAAAUUAAAAAAAAAUGUUUUGGUUGUCUGAUAGUCGACCAAAGCGCUCCUUCUUAUUUUAUUUGUGUUAUUUUCAUUUUAACUUUUAAACAGUAACAGAUAUUUUCGGUGCAUGGUUAAAACUUUGUUUAGAUUCAAACCAAAGAAUUCGUCGAUACCAUAAAAUGCGUUCACUCAAACAAAUUUUUAUCAAAAAUCGCUUUAAAUACCCACAGAGUUCGCACGUACAUAUAUGUAGAAAAUGUAGGGUGAAUUUUCUUUAAUUCCUGUUGUUUUGAAUAUAAAAUAAGUUAGUUUAAGUUUGGUAAACAAUUUUAUAUAUUAGUUAGUUUAAAUGAACAAUUAUUUUCCAAAAAAUCACCAUCUGUUUAUGAUUAGCAACAAAAAAUUAUUAAACUGGCUCCCUUAUCAAGGGAGUAAUCUACAGCAACUUAAAAAAAAAAGUGGUUAAAUUAUUUACCAAACUAAAUACAGGAAAAAACUGACAUUUUUAUUGACCGAUUACUGCAGACUUCAGUUUCUACUCUGACAAUUAAGCACCUGUUCCUUGAUUGAAAGAUGUUUAAAAGCACAUUCAGAUAGAAAAGUUCCUUUCCUAAGCAAAAUAAUUAUUGAUAAAAGUCCUAUUUUUGCAAAGCGACACCUAGACCGCCAAAAUUUAAAUAAUUUCCAGUGGUCUGAUUAAACUUUAAUAUUCGAUCCGAAGCAUACCAUUUAGACUGUUAAGCAUGGUGGCGGGAAUAUCAGCGCCUUUCUAUUAUUUUUUCCAUAUAUUUAUACAUAAAUAUAUAUAUAUAUAUAUAUAAAUAUAUAUGUAUACCAGUUGGUAUUGGACCAGUUGACAUGGUCCAAAAUACAUAUCCUCCUUAAAAACCGCAAAAGUGCCAACUGAAAACUAAAAAUGAUUAAAUAUUAAAAAAUACAAAAUAAAAAUGUAUAUAUACAAAUAUAUAUAUGUGUAUUUAUAUUAUGUAUAUAUAUAAUAUUUAUAUAAACUCGAUAAAGAGCACUACAUUUUAAAAAUAUCCGUAUGAAAGAACAAACUAAACCAAAACGAAAAAUGGCAAUCCCAUUUCAUGUUAAUAAAUCAAAUAUUUUAUCAAAGACAUGAAAGAAAUUUUUCAGCGUCCAUGAUGAAAAUAUACAUAUUGAAAUCACCAAAAUCGCGAAAUGAUAAACCUCUGUAAAAACUCUGCUAAUAUAAGACAAUAAAACAUAUAAUAAUAGUCUCACA
Long non-coding RNA from Drosophila rhopaloa, 2437 nucleotides. RefSeq lists it as uncharacterized. The transcript has 3 exons. NCBI's taxonomy places the organism in Eukaryota, Metazoa, Arthropoda, Insecta, Diptera, Drosophilidae. The record is from RefSeq and is a predicted model, not a curated record.